CAUGCAAGUCGAGGGGCAGCAUGGUCUUAGCUUGCUAAGGCCGAUGGCGACCGGCGCACGGGUGAGUAACGCGUAUCCAACCUGCCUUACACUCUUGGACAGCCUUCUGAAAGGGAGAUUAAUACAAGAUGUUAUCAUGAGUAAGCAUUUUCACAUGAUUAAAGGUUUACCGGUGUAAGAUGGGGAUGCGUUCCAUUAGAUAGUAGGCGGGGUAACGGCCCACCUAGUCUUCGAUGGAUAGGGGUUCUGAGAGGAAGGUCCCCCACAUUGGAACUGAGACACGGUCCAAACUCCUACGGGAGGCAGCAGUGAGGAAUAUUGGUCAAUGGACGAGAGUCUGAACCAGCCAAGUAGCGUGAAGGAUGAAGGUUCUAUGGAUUGUAAACUUCUUUUAUACGGGAAUAAACGAAUCCACGUGUGGAUUUUUGCAUGUACCGUAUGAAUAAGGAUCGGCUAACUCCGUGCCAGCAGCCGCGGUAAUACGGAGGAUCCGAGCGUUAUCCGGAUUUAUUGGGUUUAAAGGGAGCGUAGAUGGGUUGUUAAGUCAGUUGUGAAAGUUUGCGGCUCAACCGUAAAAUUGCAAUUGAUACUGGCAGUCUUGAGUACAGUUGAGGUAGGCGGAAUUCGUGGUGUAGCGGUGAAAUGCUUAGAUAUCACGAAGAACUCCGAUUGCGAAGGCAGCUUACUAACCUGUAACUGACAUUGAUGCUCGAAAGUGUGGGUAUCAAACAGGAUUAGAUACCCUGGUAGUCCACACGGUAAACGAUGAAUACUCGCUGUAGGCGAUAUACAGUCUGCGGCCAAGCGAAAGCAUU
This 815-nucleotide ribosomal RNA is filed under the name uncultured bacterium. RNAcentral's name for it is "bacterial SSU rRNA". It matches the Rfam family "Bacterial small subunit ribosomal RNA", at positions 54 to 861 of the family's 1533-position model. The record is from RNAcentral.